AAUUUUAGCCUGACGCUUCAGUCUUGCACGCGUUUCCACGGCGAAUAGUUCGAGUGAGCAAAGUGCCGAAUUUUCCCCUUGUAAACUGUGACAACCUCCCCAGCGAUGGCCGAGACGGUCGAGGAAACCUACGAGACGGAAGUCCGGCGAAAAGUCAUCCGGACAAGCCUCAAAAUCGAAGAAACGUCGUCGACGACGAAAACAACAACAAUGACAACGCCAGCCAAACUCUAUGGCAAAGAUCUCAGUGAAUACGACGAAAUAGAUGUAGACGAACUUUUGAAUAAGUUAUCAGCUGAAGAGAUUAACAUUCUAGCCAAAGAAGUAGACCCUGAUGACACAUUUUUGCCACCCUCACAGAGGUGUAGUUAUGACUGUGAGAAGGAAGCAACGGGGCCCCUAAACCGCAAACAACUCAUCGAACACAUAAAUAAACAAGCAAUUGAGACUCCCGACAAGCCCGAACUCAAACCAUAUGUACCUGGAACAGUCCGCGGCAAAAAAUGGAUACCGCCACCGCCCCCUGUCAAGGAACAAGAAGCUGACGAGCAAAUAGCUGUAGAUUUAGGCGACGAGUACGAGCAAGCUUUAUCUUUAGCCACACAGGAGGAAAUUAUUGAUUUGGCGGCUAUUUUGGGUUUCCAUUCGAUGAUGAAUCAGGACCAGUACCACGCAUCACUUCUCAAUAAGGGUCAGCCGGUCGGGUUGGGCUGGGACGGCAUCACGAAAGCCUCAAAACAGAAAAUAUACCCUAUGGACCCGCCCAAUAUGACGGAUCCAGACGAAACAAUAAAAAAAGUUCAGGAUGAUGACCCCAAAUUCAUCGACCUCAAUUGGAACAAUAUCAAGAAUAUAUCAGACGAGAAGUUUGACAGUUUGUUUGAAGCGUUGGAGAAUAAUACGCAUUUGGAGACGAUGUCGUUAGCGAACGUCGGAUUGACUGAUCGAGGGGCCGAGAAGUUGGCGCAAGCUUUAGAAAAAAAUAAUACUGUGAGGGUCGUUAAUGUAGAAACUAAUCUGAUUUCACCUAGUGGGAUCGUGCGGCUGAUUAAGUCGCUGUUGAAGACGAAGGCGGUGGAGGAGUUUAGAGCGUCGAAUCAGAGGUCGCAGGUGUUGGGUAACAAGAUAGAGAUGGAGAUCACGCAGUUAAUAGAAAAGAACCCGACGUUAUUAAGGUUGGGCUUGCAUUUAGAAUACAACGAUGCCCGUCAUCGUAUCGCCUCACAUUUACAACGUAAUAUUGACACAAAUUGCCGCAGUGUGAAAGCGAAUUACCGGAUCACUCUCGGUGCGGACGGCACCGCUAAAAUCGUGAAAACUGAUUAAUCUUGUCACCAGAUGGCAACGCCGCCUGUCUCGGCUGGGGGCGACCAGCUCAUAGUGUGCUGUGGUCGCGAUUACGUCGUAAACGUCGCAUGGGUCUGCUUCCCCGCAACUAUAUGGUGGGUUAUCUGACCUAAUCUUACGUCUUUCGCUUCUGAAGCCACAUGCAGUGUCAGUCCAGCCGUGCUUGAGUCAGUCUUUGCUAGGAAAAAAUUAAGCUAAGUUUAAUUAUGUCAGACUAUAUAUUUUCUUUAUGUGUCGUUAUUUUAUAGUUUUAACGAGAUAUUUUAUCGAGUUCUCCUCUGUCAAGGUUUGUUGUUUAUCUAGAGAUAUAGCAAAGUAUUGGAUACUAAAAACCAAACAGAUUGAUUAUUUAGUUUAUCACUGCCAAAAGUUCGACAAUUGCUUUUAGUAAUGUAAAAACCCUACUUGUGAUAAACUUAUUGGAGGCGAACUAAAUGUAUUUUAAGACAGUUGUAACCUAUUUUAAUAUAAUUUUUAGUAUUUACGAUUUUUCUGUAAAUAUUGUUUGCAUUGUGGUAGCUUAAUGCAUCAUCUAAGACUAAAAUUCAUCACAUGGAGCAAGGUUGUGACUUACGGACCAAACGAAUCAAAAUUGUGCUCCCGCUUUCCUCAACUCAUUCACAUUUUCAGGACUUCGCACUUGCAUUAAAUGUAGCCGUAGUAUUGUAAUUUACAUAAAAUAAAAUGUUGAACAACUGGAA
Molecule: RNA transcript, 2048 nt
Organism: Tribolium castaneum (red flour beetle)
Lineage: Eukaryota; Metazoa; Arthropoda; Insecta; Coleoptera; Tenebrionidae
Gene: tmod
Gene name: tropomodulin
Exons: 10
Source: RefSeq, a predicted model, not a curated record